AAAAAUAAUAAGAGGUUAUCACCACACCUCCGGUGGGACUUAUGGGAGCUGGUACCAGCAUCACCAUCAUCAAAGCUGGAACCAAAGGCGCCAAUGUUAUCACCACAGCAGCUUAUCGCCGCCACCAGCUCCGCCUUAGGGUUCCUUAUCCAACAAGAUUGAAAGGUGUAUGCUUUUAAACAACUUCCAGCUUUCAUGGGAAAUCAACAAUUUUUUCAAUUUACAAAUGAUGAUUUGACUCUUCAUGUUCCUUUGGAAAGCCUCUGCAGACAGUUUAUUGGGUUGUGCUGUCUUUGACUUGCUGGUUAGACAAGCAAUGUCCUGAGCCAGCUAGGACCAGCAUGGAUACACCAACUUGGACCUGCCAAGCACCACUCUUAAGAAAACAUAGACCUGAAUGGACCAAUUUGUAAUAUGAACCAUUCCAUGUUCAUGAAUUUGUAUUUAUUCCAUUCAUUACAUGAAGCUAUUCAACAUCCAAAAUUCAAAAUAUACUUUCUUUUUCAACAUAUUUCCUUCAGUGUAUUAUAAAACACUAGUUUUUACAUUUCGCCUUUUAAUCCUACAUUAUAGUUGCUCAAAAUGAACCAAAAUAUUCUUUACACUUAAAUAUGAGAGAUGGUUCUCGUUGAAACCGACGAGUUACUGCCGGUUUCUUAAGUAGUCAAACCAUGUUCGGAAGUUAUUCCCUUUGGGAAAAAACAUCCUGUGUUUUCUUUUGUAACGACGUCGUAAGUGAAGUAAGAUGUGGCCUGCCAACUUUCCGGCUUCGACCAGUUGUUCAUGUGU
Gossypium arboreum is the source of this 789-nucleotide long non-coding RNA. RefSeq lists it as uncharacterized. The record is from RefSeq and is a predicted model, not a curated record. The transcript has 3 exons. NCBI's taxonomy places the organism in Eukaryota, Viridiplantae, Streptophyta, Magnoliopsida, Malvales, Malvaceae.